AAACUAACAAGGAUUCCCCUAGUAACGGCGAGUGAACCGGGAAGAGCUCAAAUUUGAAAUCUGGCGUCCUCAGGGCGUCCGAGUUGUAAUCUAUAGAGGCGUUUUCCGCGCCGGACCGUGUAUAAGUCUCCUGGAACGGAGUAUCAAAGAGGGUGACAAUCCCGUGCUUUACACGACGACCGGUGCUAUGUGAUACGUCUUUUAAGAGUCGAGUUGUUUGGGAAUGCAGCUCAAAAUGGGUGGUAAACUCCAUCUAAAGCUAAAUAUUGGUGGGAGACCGAUAGCGAACAAGUACCGUGAGGGAAAGAUGAAAAGCACUUUGGAAAGAGAGUUAAACAGUAUGUGAAAUUGUUGAAAGGGAAACGAUUGAAGUCAGUCGUGUCCAUUGGGUUCAGCCGGUCCUGCCGGUCUACUCCCUUUGGACGGGUCAACAUCAGUUCUGACCGGUGGAUAAUGGCGUGAGGAACGUGGCACCCCUCGGGGUGUGUUAUAGCCUCGCGUCGCAUACGCUGGUCGGGACUGAGGAACGCAGCUCGCCUUUAUGGCCGGGGUUCGCCCACGUCCGAGCUUAGGAUGUUGACAUAAUGGCUUUAAACGAC
This 599-nucleotide ribosomal RNA is filed under the name Kwoniella dendrophila. RNAcentral describes it as "partial large subunit ribosomal RNA". It matches the Rfam family "Eukaryotic large subunit ribosomal RNA", at positions 62 to 648 of the family's 3401-position model. The record is from RNAcentral. Lineage: Eukaryota; Fungi; Basidiomycota; Tremellomycetes; Tremellales; Cryptococcaceae.